This is a long non-coding RNA of Triplophysa dalaica, 878 nucleotides long. RefSeq lists it as uncharacterized. The record is from RefSeq and is a predicted model, not a curated record. The transcript has 3 exons. NCBI's taxonomy places the organism in Eukaryota, Metazoa, Chordata, Actinopteri, Cypriniformes, Nemacheilidae.
UUUCAGCCUUGGACCUCGUUUCACGUCAUGAAGCACCUUAGUGUCAUUGAGAAUCCAAAUGUUCUGUUUCGACUGUUACGGAAAUAAAUGUCAUAAAGCAUAAAAUCUAAUCAGAGCAGUUUCAGGGUAUGACUGGGUUGCAGAUAAACAGUCUUUACUGGAUAUACCUUAAUAGGAUCUGGUAUUGGAUAUGGGUGUAUGGUAUAUGGGGCAACAGCUGAGAAUGUUCUUGAGAAACAUGACAGAAUACAGUCCAGAGCUCUUAGACUCCGUUUAUAUUGAUGCUACUAAAACAACUCCUGAUAAUGCAUUACUUGUGGCAACUGAAGAACUUCCUUUAUGCCUAGGAAGACUAAAGCAUUCCUUAACAUACUUGGUUAAAAGGAUCGGGGAAAGAACCUACAAUGUAGACGUACAAUCUGAAUGUUGAGAGUACACGAAAAACGCAAGGGUAAAGGAUUUGGUUGGAAUAUAAAAACAUAAGAAGAAGAUUAUAGUCUAAACAAAUCUGAUGGGGUGAAGCACAGCCUUGACCACGGCGUAGCUAUUUCAUGAGGACGUCACAGAAUAUCAGUGUGUCAUCACGGACACGGUAACACUGAAAUUAUGGCACACUGGCUGUGAGGAACACAUCCCUUAUCUCAAUGACUUCAGCAAAUCCAAGGAUAUCGCAAGUCCAUCAACAGACCUAGUGAAACAUGAGUCAGUUGUGCCUGAGCCAGUCCCACAUCCAUCUGAAACAGACAGCGCCAAUUAGAGUUUCACUCGACUUCGUGUAUGAACAAAAUGGAGCGAAGCUGUUCAAAGGGGCUUUUGUGACAACAUGCAGUUCCGAUGUCAUAGAGAUCAAACAUCUGUGAAAUAAAUACACAUGUCUG